RNAcentral lists this ribosomal RNA (376 nucleotides) under uncultured bacterium. Its description in RNAcentral is "bacterial SSU rRNA". It matches the Rfam family "Bacterial small subunit ribosomal RNA", at positions 523 to 897 of the family's 1533-position model. The record is from RNAcentral.
AUACGUAGGGUGCGAGCGUUAAUCGGAAUUACUGGGCGUAAAGCGUGCGCAGGCGGUUUUUUAAGACAGGCGUGAAAUCCCCGGGCUUAACCUGGGAACUGCGCUUGUGACUGGAAGGCUAGAGUACGGCAGAGGGGGGUGGAAUUCCACGUGUAGCAGUGAAAUGCGUAGAGAUGUGGAGGAACACCGAUGGCGAAGGCAGCCCCCUGGGCCGAUACUGACGCUCAUGCACGAAAGCGUGGGGAGCAAACAGGAUUAGAUACCCUGGUAGUCCACGCCCUAAACGAUGUCAACUAGUUGUUGGGUGGGUAAAACCAUUUAGUAACGUAGCUAACGCGUGAAGUUGACCGCCUGGGGAGUACGGCCGCAAGGUUAA